This 229-nucleotide unclassified non-coding RNA is filed under the name Ascomycota sp. Its description in RNAcentral is "partial contains small subunit ribosomal RNA, internal transcribed spacer 1, and 5.8S ribosomal RNA". The stretch from base 1 to 47 matches the Rfam family "Eukaryotic small subunit ribosomal RNA", at positions 1785 to 1831 of the family's 1831-position model. Lineage: Eukaryota; Fungi; Ascomycota. The record is from RNAcentral.
AAAGUCGUAACAAGGUUUCCGUAGGUGAACCUGCGGAAGGAUCAUUACCAAUAAGGCUACCUGGACCCAAAGUCCAUGGUAACAUUAAAACACUUGUAUACCUAUCCCACUUCUUCCGUGGAUGUGUAAAAGCAUCCACGGACAUUACUAUAAUAUUCUUUUGUAUAUAUUCAUGUCUGAUAAUACUUUAAAUAAGUUAAAACUUUCAACAACGGAUCUCUUGGUUCUC